Molecule: ribosomal RNA, 102 nt
Filed under: Periophthalmus magnuspinnatus
Lineage: Eukaryota; Metazoa; Chordata; Actinopteri; Gobiiformes; Gobiidae
Source: RNAcentral
GAUACCAGCUUGUCGUAACCUGAUUUCGUCGGAUUUCAGAAGCCAAGCAGGGCCGAGGUUGGUUAGUACUUGGAUGGGAGACUGCUGGGAAUAUCAGGUGCC